AACGUAGGUCACAAGCGUUGUCCGGAAUUACUGGGUGUAAAGGGAGCGCAGGCGGGAAGACAAGUUGGAAGUGAAAUCUAUGGGCUCAACCCAUAAACUGCUUUCAAAACUGUUUUUCUUGAGUAGUGCAGAGGUAGGCGGAAUUCCCGGUGUAGCGGUGGAAUGCGUAGAUAUCGGGAGGAACACCAGUGGCGAAGGCGGCCUACUGGGCACUAACUGACGCUGAGGCUCGAAAGUGUGGGUAGCAAACAGG
Molecule: ribosomal RNA, 253 nt
Filed under: Faecalibacterium prausnitzii
Lineage: Bacteria; Bacillati; Bacillota; Clostridia; Eubacteriales; Oscillospiraceae
Description: partial 16S ribosomal RNA
Rfam family: Bacterial small subunit ribosomal RNA
Source: RNAcentral